RNAcentral lists this ribosomal RNA (461 nucleotides) under uncultured bacterium. RNAcentral's name for it is "partial 16S ribosomal RNA". It matches the Rfam family "Bacterial small subunit ribosomal RNA", at positions 338 to 795 of the family's 1533-position model. The record is from RNAcentral.
CCUACGGGAGGCAGCAGUGAGGAAUAUUGGUCAAUGGGCGAGAGCCUGAACCAGCCAAGUCGCGUGAAGGAUGACGGCCCUACGGGUUGUAAACUUCUUUUGUCAGGGAGCAAUUGGGUCCACGCGUGGGCUUAGCGAGAGUACCUGAAGAAAAAGCAUCGGCUAACUCCGUGCCAGCAGCCGCGGUAAUACGGAGGAUGCGAGCGUUGUCCGGAAUCAUUGGGCGUAAAGAGUUCGUAGGCGGUAUGUUAAGUCUGGUGUUAAAUGCAGAAGCUCAACUUCUGUUCGGCACUGGAUACUGGCAAACUAGAAUGCGGUAGAGGUAAAGGGAAUUCCUGGUGUAGCGGUGAAAUGCUUAGAUAUCAGGAGGAACAUCGGUGGCGUAAGCGCUUUACUGGGCCGUAAUUGACGCUGAGGAACGAAAGCCAGGGUAGCAAAUGGGAUUAGAUACCCGAGUAGUC